UACGUAGGGUGCAAGCGUUAAUCGGAAUUACUGGGCGUAAAGCGUGCGCAGGCGGUGAUGUAAGACAGGUGUGAAAUCCCCGGGCUUAACCUGGGAACUGCAUUUGUGACUGCAUCGCUGGAGUGCGGCAGAGGGGGAUGGAAUUCCGCGUGUAGCAGUGAAAUACGUAGAGUAUGCGGAGGAACACCGAUGGCGAAGGCAAUCCCCUGGGCCUGCACUGACGCUCAUGCACGAAAGCGUGGGGAGCAAACAGG
This 254-nucleotide ribosomal RNA is filed under the name uncultured bacterium. RNAcentral's name for it is "partial 16S ribosomal RNA". It matches the Rfam family "Bacterial small subunit ribosomal RNA", at positions 524 to 776 of the family's 1533-position model. The record is from RNAcentral.